Molecule: ribosomal RNA, 253 nt
Filed under: uncultured bacterium
Lineage: Bacteria
Description: partial 16S ribosomal RNA
Rfam family: Bacterial small subunit ribosomal RNA
Source: RNAcentral
UACGUAGGGUGCAAGCGUUGUCCGGAAUUAUUGGGCGUAAAGAGCUUGUAGGCGGUUUGUCGCGUCUGCUGUGAAAUUUCGGGGCUCAACCCCGAACUUGCAGUGGGUACGGGCAGACUAGAGUGUGGUAGGGGAGACUGGAAUUCCUGGUGUAGCGGUGAAAUGCGCAGAUAUCGGGAAGAACACCCGUGGCGAAGGCGGCUCUCUGGGACGGUACUGACGCUGAGACGCGAAAGCGUGGGGAGCGAACAGG